Molecule: ribosomal RNA, 301 nt
Filed under: uncultured bacterium
Lineage: Bacteria
Description: partial 16S ribosomal RNA
Rfam family: Bacterial small subunit ribosomal RNA
Source: RNAcentral
CAGUAGCCAGGGAAUACGAAGGGUGCGAGCGUUAAUCGGAAUUACUGGGCGUAAAGCGUGCGCAGGCGGUUAUGUAAGACAGUUGUGAAAUCCCCGGGCUCAACCUAGGAACUGCAUCUGUGACUGCAUAGCUAGAGUACGGUAGAGGGGGAUGGAAUUCCGCGUGUAGCAGUGAAAUGCGUAGAUAUGCGGAGGAACACCGAUGGCGAAGGCAAUCCCCUGGACCUGUACUGACGCUCAUGCACGAAAGCGUGGGGAGCAAACAGGAUUAGAUACCCCGUAGUCCCUGUCUCUUAUACAC